GAAUAUUGGUUAAUGUGCGAAAGCGCGAUCCAGCAACGCCGCGUGUGCGAUGAAGGCCUUCGGGUCGUAAAGCACUUUUUGCAGGGACGAGGAAGGACGGUACCUGCAGAAUAAGUCUCGGCUAACUACGUGCCAGCAGCCGCGGUAAAACGUAGGAGACGAGCGUUAUCCGGAUUUACUGGGCGUAAAGCGCGUGCAGGCGGCAUGGCAAGUUGGAUGUGAAAGCUCCCGGCUUAACUGGGAGAGGUCGUUCAAUACUGCCAAGCUUGAGAGUGGUAGAGGGAAGCGGAAUUCCGGGUGUAGUGGUGAAAUGCGUAGAUAUCCGGAGGAACACCAGUGGCGAAAGCGGCUUCCUGGUCCAUUUCUGACGCUCAGGCGCGAAAGCUAGGGUAGCAAACG
RNAcentral lists this ribosomal RNA (399 nucleotides) under Longilinea arvoryzae. RNAcentral describes it as "bacterial SSU rRNA". It matches the Rfam family "Bacterial small subunit ribosomal RNA", at positions 359 to 774 of the family's 1533-position model. Lineage: Bacteria; Bacillati; Chloroflexota; Anaerolineae; Anaerolineales; Anaerolineaceae. The record is from RNAcentral.